Molecule: long non-coding RNA, 703 nt
Organism: Diospyros lotus (date-plum)
Lineage: Eukaryota; Viridiplantae; Streptophyta; Magnoliopsida; Ericales; Ebenaceae
Exons: 2
Source: RefSeq, a predicted model, not a curated record
UUGAAUAGCCCCCAAUAUUCUUCUCGGGAUUGCUGCCUCUGAACCGAGCCCCCCCCCCCCCCCCCCCCCCCUUCUCUCACCCCGGCUUCCCUUUAUAACCCCCCCACUCGUCUCCCUCUCUCUAUCCGCAUAUCUCUCGCUCUCUCUCUCCCUCAAACUUUCUCUGUUAGGGUUCCAUCUUCCAUGGCUCCUCCGCCGGGAAAGAUUUCAGAACCACUUCUUCUCUAAGACGGCCCUCUUUGUAUUCUUCCACAGGCUUUCUUGAACUGCAUCUUCCAGAUCCGGGCGGCCGCCGCCCGAUCCCGCUGCUGCGAUUCAAGAAAGCUGUGGAAUAAUACAGACCACGGGGGUCAAAAAGUUUCAAGAUCCAGUCCGCUUAAUGCUAUUUUUUCAAUGGCAUGCGCUCUUUGACCUCGGUGGAUUCAGGCCGGGCGAACCAGAUCUCUCUACCCUAGGGUUUCCUGCGUGUUUUCUCGGGAAAAUCAGAGAAAAUUCAGUUCCUGACAUUUCUGGAUCGGUUGGAGGGGAGAGCGAGAAAAGGGAAACGAAACCCAUAUCGCUGCGAUAUAUUUGUCCCCAAUUUGGGUUGGUUUCUGAGUUAAUUCGAUCGUUUUGUCGAUCAGUUUACAUUCAGUACUUUUCUUGGCAUGGCCGUGUGUCGAUGAUGAUAUUUAAUUAAUGGCCGUGAGUCUGUUUUGUGGCU